GUGGGAGUUCGUGCACUCAGAAAUCUUUCACUGCUAAAUUCCGGACUUCUUCCAUGACCCGAGGCCAGAAGGACUUAGGCUUUGCUGGCAUCACUGCUGCUAGUACCACUAAAUCCUCCUUCUGUGGACAUUUCGGCAAACGCCUUUGCAGGGAGUCUAGGAAGAGCAGGAGCCGCCCUGGCGCUCCUGCGGAGUCGGGCAAUGCAGAGGCUCAGGCACCGCGGAGGGAAGCGGAGAGCGAGAAGCGUGAGUCCUGGAGAACGGCGCACGCGCGAAACUGGGGCACAAACAAGAUGGCGGGCACGCCGUUUGCACUGUCUCCCCUUUUCCUCUCCCUUUCCCCUGGUGCCCCGACUCCUAUAAUUAAUUUCAUAUAAGAGGUAUUCUGAGAGCGUAGUUAUAUCAAAAACUCACCUGCAUUAUUUCCGUGUGUGUGUGUGUAUGUGUGAAAAAUGAAGAUAAAGAACAUAUUUAAAAGUAAAAUCUGCUUUGUGGGAAUAGAAUUUACUUUUCACUUUUAUUUUUCCUUCCCUUUUCCAUUGUUUGGGAUCCACAGAGUGUGAGUGCUCAACGUACAGCAAAGAGGAGGAUAAAGCUGUAAGGAGUGUUUCGGAUUUGAUUGUAAUCUCUCUCUCUUAAAUAAAGAUAAUGUCCUCAUUGUCUGAUUGAGACAGAAACUCCCCACCUCCCUAUUAAAAUUUUUUUUAAAAAAAACCCUGACCCAGAGGUUUCUGAAGCCUCCAUUGAUAACACACAAUGGCCUGUUCUUCUAGGAUGUUUCAUGGCCCUUAAGGAAGCCUCUGUUCGCCCACAUGAUGAAAGGGUGAGAGAUGAGCAAGGAGAAGCCAAGGUUCGCCCGCCUCGCCCUGCCUGGGCAGAGGACUGUGGAAAGGCAGAAGUUGAAGGACUCCUGCAACAGAAAUGGAAUGAGGGUGCACAGACAUCCAGGAGUGAAGCACAUGUGUGUGAAAGGCAGGCCCCAGCCAGUGGCGGGAAGGAAGGCAGCCUGGUCAAUGAGGGCCCACUGGGGGCCUUUCUUCUCCCCAUUCAUUGCCUUCUGAGACUCUCCACAUCCUUUUCAGACAGAGUCUUUCUGUCUCUCCCAGACUGGAGUGCAGUGGUGUGAUUGUAGCUCACUGCAGCCUCAACCUCCUGGACUCAAACAAUUCUCCCUUAUCAGCCUCCUGAGUAGUUGGGACUACAGGUAUGCAUCACCAUGUCCAGCUUGGAUUUUUCUUCCUCCUUCAACCUCUAAAUGUUGUUGUGUUCCAGAGGCCAGUCCUUUAGUCUCCACCCUCCUUUGUCUAUACAGACUCUCCAUAUAAUCUCUAAUAAAUGCCAUUUGCACGCUGAUGGCUUGCAAAUGUCUAUCGGCAGCCUAGGUGUUCUCCUAAAUUUGAGAUUUAUUUAUCUACCUGCCUUCUUAGAUAGAAAACAAAUACGUUAAACUUAGCAUGUCCAAAGAUGAACUCUUAUUACCCAACCCAAAUUUGCUUUACACCGAUCUUUCCCAGUUAGGUAAAUAACUCCAUCUUUCCUGUUGUUCAAGACCAAAUCCUUGAGGUCUUCCUUCCUUGACACCUUUUCUUCGCAGAUCCUGCUUCCAAUAUAGGGUCAGUUACUCAUGGCUGUGUCUUUGGAAUAUAUUCAGAAUCUAGUCACUUCUCAAUCCCCUUCUUUUUCUGCUUUCAUCAUUCCUUGCCAACAUUGCUGCAGCAGUCUUCUAAGGUCUCCCUGAUUCUAUCCCUCUGCUUUUCUUCUGUGUGUGUGUGUGCAUGCACACACGUGCACACACUUUAUUUCUUCUUUUGUUUUAACGCAGAAACCAAAGUGCUUUUAAGCUCUAAAUUGGACCUAUAAUUUAUCUGCCCAAAAUCUGCCAGGGGCUUCCAUCCCUCUCAGAAUAAAAGUCAAAGUUUUCACUGUAGCUUAUAAAACCCUCCCUGAUUUGGCCCCUGCCUCUAUCUCAUAUUCCACAACUCUUCCCCCUCAUUCACUCCGCUCCAGCCACUCAGGCUAUCAUCUCAGGACAUCGUUAUAUAUUUGCUUCUUCUAGAUAUUGUCCAUCUGGCUUCAUUCAGGGCUUUGCUGAAAUGUCAGUAUCACACCACCAAAAAGUGAUAACCACGUGAGGUGAUGGACACAUUAAUUGGCUUAAUUUAGCCAUUCCACAUUGGGUAUAUACAUAUAUCCAGUCAUCAUGUUGUAUACCAUAAAUAUACACAGUUUUGUCCAUUUUAAAUAAAUAAAUGUCACUAUCAAAGACUCUGUCCUCUCUCAUAUAUUUAAAGUAAACACAUACUUCAUUCUUUUUCUGUCUACUUAUCCUGCUUUCUUUUUCUUUCACAUUCACCACCAACUGACAUAGGAUAUUUAUUGGUUUGUUAUCUGUUGCCUCCACUAGAAAGUGAGCUCUAUGACAACAAUGGCUUUGCUUGUUUCACUGCUGUUUUCCAAUAGCUUUGAAAUAUAGGAGAUGACCAAGAAACAUGUGUUUCCUGAAUAAGUUAACUAAGGAGAGCAUUUUUAUAAUAAUAGAACCCCCACAUCAGAUUCAGCUGUUGACUUAGUCAUCAUACAUCUUUUGACCAUCUUCUUUGGGCCACAAUACCAAUUGCAAAAUAAAAACAUUGAGAAACUGAAGACAAAUGUGCUCAUGAAAGAUGGUGUUGAUAACUGUUUUAAAAUAUUUUUACAAACACACUGAGAUGGUCGUUUGGGCCAUAUAUUAGUCCAAAAGGAGGAAAUCAAAUGGCGCCUAUCUGUCAAAGAAAGAUGCAAACGCCAAGGAAAGUCAAGGCUUAAUGUGUACACAUUGGCUAAAUGAAUCAAAGAUGUAAGCACUAGAAAUUUUUCAGGAAAAUUUGUACAUGACACUUUGAUGGCCCGCGGAGGACUCUGAGUCACUGUACAUCUAUUAUGUUUCACUGAUGACAGAUGUAAUCUGUCUCCUUGGCUCUCAAAAGUAAGAAAACACCUCUACACAGGAAAAACAUAAUAAAUUUUAUUUGCAAAUUAAUAUCUCUGAUCAUUGUUCUGACACUCUCUUGAAAAAUGUUUCAGAUGUGGAAAGAGUUCUUUUGAAAGAUUUAUUUUAUUUACUUUAGCAGUUCAUGAGAGCAGUGAUGCACUGACAUGGAGGGUGGGGAAGGGGUGGCUGUGUUUUAUUUGCACUACAUUUAAUUUGUGUUUGACACAUGUGCAACAUGGGCUGAUGGGAAGAACCUGGAGCAUGCGUGGAGAGAUGAACUAUGAAAACCUAGACAUCAAGACAUGCAGGCCUCCAACGAGGAUAAAACUCCUACCUCUCACCUUGGUCUCCAUGUGCCUCUCUGCUCACUAUAAUCUAACCACAGUGGCUUUUCACUAAUCAUUGUUGCUUGUUUAGGAAAUAGUUAAUAACUAAAUAUUUCUCUGAUACCUAAUAAUAUUAAACUUCUUUUCAUAUGUUCACUAGCCCUUUACGUUUCCUUGUUUUUUGUGUCGGGUUCUGAACUUUCUCCUUCCUCUGCCCACAAUUCAUUUCCCUGAUCUUCCCUCAGCUGUCCCUUCUCCUCUCUCCUACCUCAACUCAAAUAUCACCUCCUCAAAGAGACCGUAGCUGACCAUCCCAGGCAAUGACACUCCAACCCUGCUCAUGCUCUCUCUCUGACAUUACCCCAUUUUAUUUUCUUCUUAGACUUUACCAUUGUCUGCAAUUAUCUCGUUUUCUUAUUUGUGGAUAUGCUGAUUAAAUGCUCCUCCCCUUUUGUAACUGAACAAAAUUUCCAUGAAGGCAGAGACUGUGUCUGUCUUGCUAAGAUCUGUGUCACCAAUACUGGAGCUGGGCCUGAUACAAGUAUUUUUUGAGGGGGAAAAAUGAUUUCUCAUUUCUGAACCUGAGCCCCUUGACUCUAGAAUGAAAGGGUUGGAUGAGAUCAGUGUUCUUUAAGUGGGGCCCCAGAUCAGCAGCACCAGCAUCGCCUGGGAACUUGUCAGAAAUGCAGGUUCUCAGGUCCUUCCCAGACCUGCGGCUUCAGAGAGUCUGGCAUGGGACCCAGUGAUCUGUGGUUUAGCAGCCCUGCAGAUGCCUGGAUAUGCCCUGGAGUGUGAGAGCAACACAUGCUCUCUGAGGCCUCUUCUCUUCUUUACACUUAACUUUUUGGCUUUGUUAGUUGCAAAGGUUAUUUCAUAUAUAGAAAUGAGAACAGAGAAUAAUUCAGUGACCAGCCUGUCCCCAGUGGCUGGAUUGAGCAAAUCUUAGCAUUACA
Molecule: long non-coding RNA, 4250 nt
Filed under: Papio anubis (olive baboon)
Lineage: Eukaryota; Metazoa; Chordata; Mammalia; Primates; Cercopithecidae
Description: lncRNA (ENSPANG00000046721.1)
Source: RNAcentral